UCCAGCCUUUCAGGGAGAGAGGUGGGAAUAGGCUGGGUAACAAUCGAGGGAUCAGCCUGUGCCUGGUAGGAGAUAAAAACAGGAAAGCCUGAGCACAAGCUCUCUUAAACUCCUCAAGUGAGGAGGCCAACAUGCUGGCAGGAAAAUUCAAGUUUUUCUGCUGAGUUUGUUCACAAGACCCAUUCAGAAGUUCUGCAUGAAAGGGCUGCAGGAUCUUAAGGAAAACAGCCUUGGGUGGAAGUGGAAAACAUUCAGCUGGAACCCAGUGCUGCCCAGCAACACGGAUGGGUCACAAGGCUUUGGACACUGAGAAAUUAUUUGGCUUUCUGAAGAAAUUGGAUUAUUGAGGGUCCUGAUCACACCCAGGGGUGCUGCUGUAUCAUGAUCAGUCACUGCUGGGUUGGUUUGCAGGGAGGUUCUGGAGUUUGGGAGUCUUGGGGACAGGGAGGGGAGUCAGCAGCAGCACAAGUUGGCUUCUGAGUUCCAACCUGAGCCUGCUUCCCACCAUCCAGCACCUCCCAAGGCCAGCAAGGUAACCAAAAACCUGCUGAACUCAAGGAAGGAGGAAGGUCACUUCACAAAUCCAGAGGGGAGACAGAAACUGCAGAUGUGGUAUGAAAUAAGAAGCAACAAUCAGAGAAAAAAUGUGCUUUGGGGAGGGCCCAGAUGCCAUGCAACACCUUCUGCCAUGUUGGAGUGAUAAUAGCUGACCAUCCUCCUGGAGAUCUCAAAGCACCAAUGAGGAAAGGGAUCCUGAAGUGAAUUCUAUUGUUUGAGUCAACCCUGCAAAUGAGAAGAAGAAUGGGGAGGCUGUGUGUAAAACAUAGAGCAGCUCUGGAUUUUCCCAGAAAACUUGUCAAGAAAAAAAAAAAGUCUUCACUGCUGGUAUUUUUGCAUUACAUAUUCAGCAUUCACAACAAACUCAAUGCCCAGAAACGGGGAGUGCACUCUGAAUGAGGAAGAAGCUGCAACCUCUACCUCAAUAUUUUUCUGAAGCAGAGCUAAUGCACAGCAGCUAAAAAUAAUCUCAUGGAACAAAAAUGAAAAAAAACAGAGAAGUCAAUGCUAUAUGACUCUCUUCAAACCACAGAUCAGCACAGGAUGGUUGUAAGUGAAUACAAAACCAGUAUUGGUAGAGAUGGCAAAUUCUGUUCUUAUUGUAAAGCUCCUCACAAGCUUUGGCAGUUUCUUCCCAAAGCCCCCUCAGCUGUC
Long non-coding RNA from Passer domesticus (house sparrow), 1212 nucleotides. RefSeq lists it as uncharacterized. Lineage: Eukaryota; Metazoa; Chordata; Aves; Passeriformes; Passeridae. The record is from RefSeq and is a predicted model, not a curated record. The transcript is spliced from 6 exons.